GCUCGGUUGGUGUAGUCCGGCCAAUCAUGUUGGCCUUUCGGGAAAACUUCAGACAGUUUCAAGCUGAAAUAAACUGGCUGGUUUUCGAAGACAGCCGACGACCAGGGUUCAAAUCCCUGACCGAGCA
RNAcentral lists this transfer RNA (127 nucleotides) under Halarchaeum acidiphilum MH1-52-1. RNAcentral describes it as "tRNA-Glu". It matches the Rfam family "tRNA". From Rfam's summary of the family: Transfer RNA (tRNA) molecules are approximately 80 nucleotides in length. Their secondary structure includes four short double-helical elements and three loops (D, anti-codon, and T loops). Lineage: Archaea; Methanobacteriati; Methanobacteriota; Halobacteria; Halobacteriales; Halobacteriaceae. The record is from RNAcentral.